AUUGAACGCUGGCGGCAGGCCUAACACAUGCAAGUCGAGCGAGCGGCGGACGGGUGAGUAAUGUCUGGGAACCUGCCUGAUGGAGGGGGCUACCUACAGGAAGCGGUAGCUAAUACCGCAUCCCAUCAGAUGUGCCCAGGUGGGAUUAGCUAGUGGGUGGGGUACAGGCUAACCUAGGCGACGAUCCCUAGCUGGUCUGAGAGGAUGACCAGGCACACUGGAACUGAGACACGGUCCAGACUCCGACGGUAGGCAGCAGUGGGGAAUAUUGCACAAUGGGCGAAAGCCUGAUGCAGCCAUGCCGCGUGUGUGAAGAAGGCCUUAGGGUUGUAAAGCACUUUCAGCGGGGAGGCGUUACCCGCAGAAGAAGCACCGGCUAACUCCGUGCCAGCAGCCGCGGUAAUUC
RNAcentral lists this ribosomal RNA (406 nucleotides) under uncultured bacterium. RNAcentral describes it as "partial 16S ribosomal RNA". It matches the Rfam family "Bacterial small subunit ribosomal RNA", at positions 30 to 526 of the family's 1533-position model. The record is from RNAcentral.